Molecule: long non-coding RNA, 691 nt
Filed under: Equus asinus (donkey)
Lineage: Eukaryota; Metazoa; Chordata; Mammalia; Perissodactyla; Equidae
Description: lncRNA (ENSEASG00005023540.1)
Source: RNAcentral
CAAGGACGCCAUCUUCCUGCCAAACGCUACACCGCCCUGCCGCAGACCGGCGACCCUGCGGAGGGAUUUGUGAGCCCUGAGUCAAUUCUGCCAAGGCUGUAAGAGGAGGAUAUGGCAGUGCUCUGGAGAAAACAGAUAUGCUGGCAGAUCUUCUUCUUUUUCCACAUUGGUCAUCCUGGCACGCUGCAGGAAUUCCCAGACAGGACGGUGAGAAUGACAUUAGCUGCCCCAGCAACUGACUUGUGGAUUAGAAUUCGAGACUCAGACACCAUGGAAACGCAGAAUCACGGAGCCAUAGAACUCAAGCGAGAGAAGAGAGUUUGCGUGAUAGAACACCUUGCUUCAAGACACGAAGACAUCUUUCCCCAAUCGGGGAUAUUUUCUCUUUUUUAUAGUAGAAAUGAAAAUGAGCGUAUUGUUAUACAACAGAGAAACAUGCCACUAUUCACCUGUUGCUGAAAUAAUUAUUAUAUAUUCCUGGUGAAUUGAACUUUUAUAAUUCUAAAGUGGUCCUACCUAUGUGUAGUUAUUCUUUGUUCUGUAAAGUCUACUUGACUAAUUUUAGCAUAGCUUUCCUUUUGUUAGAUUUUUAUGGUGCUUUUCCCCAGACUUUUUAAUUUCAUCUUUUAGUUGUCUUUAUAUUUAAGUUGUGUCUCAUAUAAGGAUCGUGUAGCUCAGUAUUUUAUCCAAC